GGCCCAGAACGCGGGCGGAGCGCAACAUGCCGACUGUCCUCCAACCAGAAUGCUCAGAAUGAGGAAGACAGGUGUGGCGCUGUGAGCGAGCCCUUAGAUCUCGUAUCCAAGACUCUCCCUGUUUCUCCCUAGCUCCUGGCAUGCUAGGUAGCGGUGUCUCUGUACGCCAGACUAUUCCCCACAGGCCGGCAUCGGCCCUCCGAUGUUGCGUACGGUGUUGCCACGGAACGCCCGGAGCCGGAUGUGACGUCGCCGUGGAGGAAGAAGGGAGAGGUGGAGCGUGGCGCGGUGACGUCCUUCCAACAUGGCGGAGAGAGAGUGAAGAAACUGUGUUCCCCUUUGGGUUACUAUAGAGCAAGGGUAAAAUUCGAUUCUGAUAUCAAAAUGCAGUAUUCGCACCACUGUGAGCACCUUUUAGAGAGACUGAACAAACAACGGGAAGCAGGUUUUCUUUGUGACUGCACCAUAGUAAUUGGGGAAUUCCAGUUUAAAGCUCAUAGGAAUGUGCUUGCCUCGUUUAGUGAGUAUUUUGGUGCGAUCUACAGAAGCACUUCAGAGAACAAUGUCUUUCUUGAUCAGAGUCAGGUGAAGGCUGAUGGAUUUCAGAAACUGUUGGAAUUUAUAUACACAGGAACUUUAAAUCUUGACAGUUGGAAUGUUAAAGAAAUCCAUCAGGCUGCUGACUAUCUCAAAGUGGAAGAGGUGGUCACUAAAUGUAAAAUAAAGAUGGAAGAUUUUGCUUUUAUUGCUAAUCCCUCUUCUACAGAGAUAUCUAGUAUUACCGGAAACAUUGAAUUGAAUCAACAGACUUGUCUCCUUACUCUACGAGAUUAUAACAGUCGGGAGAAAUCAGAAGGGUCUACAGAUUUAGUUCAGGCAAAUCCUAAACAAGGGGCUUUAGCAAAGAAGUCAUCUCAAACUAAAAAGAAGAAGAAGGCCUUCAACUCCCAGAAAACAGGGCAGAAUAAAACAGUGCAAUAUCCCAGUGACAUUUUAGAGAAUGCAUCAGUUGAAGUAUAUCUAGAUGCAAAUAAAUUGUCCACACCUGUAAUAGAACAAGUUGCACAAAGAAAUAAUUCAGAACUUGAGUUGACAUCAGUUGUGGAAAAUACUUUUCCAGCACAAGAUAUUGUGCAAACUGUCACAGUGAAACGGAAACGUGGAAAAUCACAGCCAAACUGUGCUCUGAAAGAACACUCUAUGUCUAAUAUAGCCAGUGUCAAGAACUCUUAUGAGCUGGAGAGCUCCGGGGAAGAGCUGGAUCAGAGGUAUUCCAAGGCCAAACCAAUGUGUAACACGUGUGGGAAAGUGUUUUCAGAAGCCAGCAGCUUGCGAAGGCACAUGAGAAUACAUAAAGGAGUCAAACCUUAUGUCUGCCACUUGUGUGGAAAGGCAUUUACCCAAUGUAACCAGCUGAAAACGCAUGUAAGAACUCAUACAGGUGAGAAGCCAUACAAAUGUGAAUUGUGUGAUAAAGGAUUUGCUCAGAAAUGCCAGCUAGUCUUCCAUAGUCGCAUGCAUCAUGGUGAGGAAAAACCCUAUAAAUGUGAUGUAUGCAAUUUACAAUUUGCAACUUCUAGCAAUCUCAAGAUUCAUGCAAGGAAGCAUAGUGGAGAGAAGCCAUAUGUAUGUGAUAGGUGCGGACAGCGAUUUGCCCAAGCCAGCACAUUGACCUAUCAUGUUCGAAGGCAUACGGGAGAAAAGCCUUAUGUGUGUGACACCUGUGGGAAGGCAUUUGCUGUCUCUAGUUCUCUUAUUACUCAUUCUCGAAAACAUACCGGUGAAAAACCAUACAUAUGUGGUAUUUGUGGGAAAAGUUUUAUUUCCUCAGGAGAGCUCAACAAACACUUUCGAUCCCAUACAGGAGAAAGACCAUUUAUCUGUGAAUUAUGUGGAAAUUCUUACACAGAUAUUAAAAAUUUAAAGAAGCACAAAACAAAAGUCCAUUCUGGUACAGAUAAAAUUCUAGAUUCCAGUAUAGAGGAUCAUCCCUUGAGUGAACAAGAUUCCAUACAAAAAAGUCCUUUAUCAGAAACUUUGGAUGUGAAGCCUUCUGAUAUGACUUUACCACUAACUCUUCCACUUGGGACUGAGGACCACCACAUGCUUCUGCCUGUUACAGAUAAUCAGUCUCCUACAUCAGAUACAUUGUUGAGGUCAACUGUGAACGGGUAUUCAGAACCACAAUUGAUUUUUUUACAACAAUUAUACUGACUUUGUGAGGAAUAUGGAAUUGCUAAAUCGUCUCUGGUAGUAAACAUAAACAUCUCUGGAAUUUAUUGGAAUGUGAAGAAAUUAAAGAAAAUUAAGACUCAGCCUUUUUAAGAAGUCUGCUGAAAUGGAGAGGCUAUAUUUAAUUCACAUCUUCAUUAAUCCAAGCAUCUAAUGAACAAAAUUUCUUUUUAAAAGCUGCUGUAGUGAUGUCAUAAUUCUGUAAGGGUAGUAGUUACCAAAUUUCCUCUAACAUGAUGAUAAUUAGCAUUUGCCUUUACAUAAAUUAGUCUUUAAAUUUAUUAUAUUUAGGAUUAUUGGAGUGACUGAAGUUGAUCUAUUCUCUUCAUCACAUUAUCUGCUUCUUAGCUAAAAUAAUUUUAUUUUAAAUUGACAUGGCUUGACGCUCUUCCAGAAUGACAUGUAAAGAAAGCUUGAAGACUGAGUAUCUUUGUCUUGUCAUUCUUCUCAUAAUGCUGUAUUAUUCUUUAUCAUAACAUGCAUGUAUUUUAGUUGUAUCUGCUAUCAUUGUAACACUCACAAUUAUCAGUUAAGUUCAUCUUUAAAUAUAUUUGCUACAAUGCAGUGUUUUGGGAAAGUUCUAUUCUUAAUUAUGUAAGUAUUACUAAGUUUUUUGAAAGUCUUUUUAGGAUGCUGAACAUCUUAUUGAGAAAUUAUUUUCUAAGUUAAUUUUGUUUUGUAUUUGUAUUAGAUUAUUCUUUCUGUAUCGUUAGGUUUUAGGCUUUUUAAAAAACCAUAGAUUAUAUAUAAAUGAUUUUUUGCUGGUAUUUGUUUUAUGUUUAAUUUCAUAGAAUGAUUUUGAUAGACAGAUUUUAGAAAAUUGUUUUAUUUUUUACAAAAGAAAAGGUUCUGUCAUUUCUCUUGCAACAAUAGUGUGUCACUUUUCUGUAUGUUUCAUUUCUACAGCAAUUGUACAAAUGAGAGUAGUUGAAAUGUGCUUAUAUAAAGACAAUCUACAUGUACUCAUUUUUUUAAAUAUCCUAGAACAGUAACUGACAUUUGAUGCAUAUCAGAAACAUAGCUUAAAAAUAGUGGUGUCCAAGCGCCACCCCACCUUAGGCUCUCUGAAUCAGAAGAUCUCCAGAACAUGCUGAAAAGCUCCAUAGGUAAUCUUAAUGCAUACCAAACACUGAGAACUAUCAUCCUAAACAUUUCUUGGUGUUCUUCCUUUGGGCUCUUGAUAUGUGAUAUGUAGGCUCUAUUUUUUUUUCUUUUGGCCGCACCACGCGGCUUGCAGGGAUCUUAGUUCCCCGACCAGGGAUUGAACCCGGGCCCUCGGCAGUGAAAGUGCAGAGUCCUAACCACUGCACUGCCAGGGAAGUCUCUCUGUGGGCUCUUGAUAAAUGAAGCUCUUGAUAUAACUUUUCACUUUUUACUCAGAGAUUUUGAGUCUUUAGAACUUGGCUAGAAAUACCACCAAAUAAAAAGAAAUUGUACUUUAAUGCAAUUUCUGUAAAUUCUACAUUUUUACUCAUUAUGUAUGAACAAUACCGAUAUUUAGUUAUUGGAGCAUUUCUUGAGACAGUGAUAUGGUCUACUCGCCUGUCCUCUACAACCCCUGCCCCUCCUUUCACUGAACAGAGAUUUGGUGUAUUUGCUUAAGGAAUUUAGAUAAUUAUCAUGUAAACACAGUAAUCAUUCAGAAAUAGGGUAUUUAAUUUCAAGAAUAUACUGAAAUAAACACCAUGGAUGUGAAUCAGAUAUUUGGAUUAAAAUAUCUGGCCAUUAUUUCAAAUGCUGGAAAAUUAUUGAAAUCAGAAUACAUACAGCUGUAAAGAUGAAUAAAAUGAUCUCCUCUUUUAAGUUUACAGUCAAGUGGGAAAGACAAGCCUGAAUGCCAAGUGUUAUAGUGGAGGAAGGAAAGAAAGGAAAUGCUGAGCAGUCAAUGGAAGUUGAGUGGACAGAGAAAGGGCUGUUACUCCCCUGGAUAGGCAAACAAGAGGAGAUUGCUAAUGGGAGGAAUUUGUACACAGCUGACUGAGGUAGGGAGAAUGGAGAGAAAGUCUGAAAGGUGGUGGCAGAGAUAGGAAUCAAAGACACAUCUAGCACUAUCUAUACCACCUUGAAAUAGUCCUCUACCUUUAGCCUGUGCUGAAAGAGUGGGAUUAGAUAGCCAUGUUUAUAAUCCAGGAUCUCACACACUCAACUACAGUUGACUGCUGAAGGGCAGGGAUUAGACAGCCACACUUGUAACAUAUGAUUCUAUACUUGUGACCACAGCUGACGAACAGCUUACCAGGGAGAAACAAUCCUUAGGCCAAACGGAGCGACUUUCUUCAGAAUUUGAGCUAUGAAAUUCAGAGACUUCCUAGGUAUUGGUGUACAUGGAAAAGAUCAUUUAGAUCUGGUCCAGAGUCACUGAAGCAAGCCAAAGUCUAAAAGAAAUAGUGAAGAAGCAGAGAAAGCUGACCUGUAGAGCGAAGCAAGGGGAUGAAGUAGGUUUGCAGAACCAAGCGACUGAGGCCCUGUGAGAGAAGUGGCUUGGUUUCUGGCUUUGCAGACCUUUCUUGAGGUCACACAGCUAUGCUUCAUUUCCUUGUUCUGCAUGCCAGUGAUUUUUGCCUAUUAAAUUCUUACAGUAAA
RNA transcript from Lagenorhynchus albirostris (white-beaked dolphin), 4815 nucleotides. It is a transcript of the gene named myoneurin, with no coding region annotated. The transcript is spliced from 9 exons. The record is from RefSeq and is a predicted model, not a curated record. Lineage: Eukaryota; Metazoa; Chordata; Mammalia; Artiodactyla; Delphinidae.